GGAUCCAGACUUUGAUAAUGGCUCAGGACGAACGCUGGCGGCGCGCCUAACACAUGCAAGUCGAGCGGGAAGCUUUUUAAGGAUUCUUCGGAUGAAUUAAAAAGUGGAGAGCGGCGGACGGGUGAGUAACGCGUGAGAAACCUGCCCUAUACAGGGGGAUAGCCAUUGGAAACGAUGAUUAAUACCCCAUAUGACCACAGUAUCGCAUGAUACAGCGGUGAAAACUCCGGUGGUAUAGGAUGGUCUCGCGUCUGAUUAGCUAGUUGGUGGGGUAACGGCCUACCAAGGCGACGAUCAGUAGCCGGCCUGAGAGGGUGACCGGCCACACUGGAACUGAGACACGGUCCAGACUCCUACGGGAGGCAGCAGUGGGGAAUAUUGCACAACGGGCGAAAGCCUGAUGCAGCGACGCCGCGUGAACGAUGAAGGCUUUCGAGUCGUAAAGUUCUGUUCUUGGGGAAGAUAACGACGGUACCCAAGGAGAAAGCACCGGCUAAAUACGUGCCAGCAGCCGCGGUAAU
Molecule: ribosomal RNA, 521 nt
Filed under: uncultured bacterium
Lineage: Bacteria
Description: bacterial SSU rRNA
Rfam family: Bacterial small subunit ribosomal RNA
Source: RNAcentral